This 484-nucleotide ribosomal RNA is filed under the name uncultured bacterium. RNAcentral's name for it is "partial 16S ribosomal RNA". It matches the Rfam family "Bacterial small subunit ribosomal RNA", at positions 30 to 507 of the family's 1533-position model. The record is from RNAcentral.
AUUGAACGCUGGCGGCAGGCCUAACACAUGCAAGUCGAGCGGAUGAGUGGAGCUUGCUCCAUGAUUCAGCGGCGGACGGGUGAGUAAUGCCUAGGAAUCUGCCUGGUAGUGGGGGACAACGUUUCGAAAGGAACGCUAAUACCGCAUACGUCCUACGGGAGAAAGUGGGGGAUCUUCGGACCUCACGCUAUCAGAUGAGCCUAGGUCGGAUUAGCUAGUUGGUGAGGUAAAGGCUCACCAAGGCGACGAUCCGUAACUGGUCUGAGAGGAUGAUCAGUCACACUGGAACUGAGACACGGUCCAGACUCCUACGGGAGGCAGCAGUGGGGAAUAUUGGACAAUAGGCGAAAGCCUGAUCCAGCCAUGCCGCGUGUGUGAAGAAGGUCUUCGGACUGUAAAGCACUUUAAGUUGGGAGGAAGGGCAGUAAGUUAAUACCUUGCUGUUUUGACGUUACCAACAGAAUAAGCACCGGCUAACUUCGUG